GUAUCGUGUGGAUGAAAUAUUGUCCAAAUCAGUGGCAGUCUUUCGACAUCGUUCGUUCCCGAUGUCGAGUUGAUGGAAAAUCGAAGAGCUUUGAUCGAGUGAGAACAAUCCAGUGUUACAAAAAGGUGUCAUUUUCGGAUAGCUGAGAUUACAAUUAACAAAUAUUUCACUUCUGGAUAAAUGUAGUGACAUCAAUUCAGAAACAGCAGAUUAUAGGCAAAGGAAAGCUAUUUCUGGAUCUUUCACAAAAUACAUGAUGUACAAAUAUUCUGCAAGAAACAUCAACCUGACAAAAAGGAAGUGGUGUAGAUCUGUUGGUAUAUCUGCAUAUUGUUGGUGAUACAAAAUGUGUAAUAUGAAAACAUUGAAGAAAUACUUGACAAAUGCAAAAUAUGUGAUGCAAGAAUUCAGUAUAAGUAAAAUUACCAGAUUUUCAUUUCAAAUGAAAAAGAAUUGUAGCCCACAGGAUCAGUCCUCAUCUUUAGUCAGUGGUCAGGCUUAAAAAGUAUUUUUUUCCAGAAGACACAAGUGCAAGUAAAAAAGGCACAUUUCACUUUUUCCACUUAAAUUAUGUUGGAUUAAAUUAAGAGUUAUCAAAAAGUAUGGAAAAUAAAGUUAAUUUAGCAAUGAAUGUUUAAGAGUGCCAAAAUGACAGCAAAAUGUAUCUUUUCCUUAUUUUGUCAAUAUUGAAUUUUAUGAUACUUUGGAUGAAAUGACAAUAAAACUGUCAGUGAAAGUAAAUUAAGUGAAUUUUGAUAAUAAACGGACCAAUUAAAGUGAACUAAAUGUGGUAAAGAAGACAUUAUGGAGUUAACAAGGAGAUACCAAAAGUGUAAAUGAAUGUAACAAUAAAUUACAUCUAUAUUAUUUCAUAGACUCUGUGAAAGGAUUAUAGUCAGAUCUGAAUAGGAAUCAUAAGAUUAGGACAAAUACUGAUAAAUAUAAAGUAUAUAAAAUGUCUAAUAAACUUAUAUUAUAAGUUUUAUUCUGGUGCAAGCCAGAAAUGAUAUCUAAGUGUAUCUUCCUUUUUCACUCCAGUUAUGGUUGAAACUUGCCAUAAAAAGCCAUAUGACUUCUCCAGUGUCAGCUUUAUUAUAAACCCACUAUAUCCCCCCCCCCCAAAGAUAGUAAACAGUAAAAUAACUUACUUAACAUUAAUAUAUUAAUUAUUGAUAAAAUCAAUUUUUGUACAACUGUUUUGCUGAUUUGUGUUUUGAUAUAUAUGAAAGAAUCUGGGUAUUUAUUUAAUAUUUGGUAUUCGACUGGUAUGUAAGUACCUGGCAGAAACGAAUAUAAAAGAACAUUUCGAAGAGAAGAUGUGCACCUCUUUCCAAGCUGGAAAUAUGGUAUUUCCAGGUUAUGUUUCUUUAUUACAUACUUAUAAAUAAAAUGAUGAAAAAUAUUGAUGAAAUUAAAUGCUUAUUUUCACUUUCCUUAUUUUCACUGCAAAAAAAAUAUUUUUCACUGCAGUGAAACAUAUUUUCACCGGUGUCUUGCCAGACUAAUUUCUGCUAUAUUCAGCCGAGUUUCAUAUUGUGAUGUCAAAAAAGAGAAAUGCAUAUAAUAAACAAGUAAAUUUAAGUAUUUUCUAUAAAUAGUUUGUAGUAUGAAAAUUAUCAUGUUUCACUUGUGGCAACCACCACUC
Ruditapes philippinarum (Manila clam) is the source of this 1645-nucleotide long non-coding RNA. RefSeq lists it as uncharacterized. NCBI's taxonomy places the organism in Eukaryota, Metazoa, Mollusca, Bivalvia, Venerida, Veneridae. The transcript is spliced from 3 exons. The record is from RefSeq and is a predicted model, not a curated record.